CCUUCGGGUGAUUCUGGUUGGGGGAAGCGGCGAAAGGGGCAGUAAUGCGUGGGCAACCUACCUUGGGGAUGAGGAUAGCCGCGGUCCGUUGGACCUACCGAAAGGGCGGGUAAUACUCGGUGAUGUCGGUUUUUCGCAUGAUAGACCGAUGAAAUGAAUUUCGCCUCGAGAGGGGCUCACGUGGUAUUAGCUUGUUGGUGAGGUAACGGCUCACCAAGGCCGAGAUGCCUAGCUGGUGUGAGAGCAUGACCAGCGCCACUGGGACUGAGACACUGCCCAGACUCCUACGGGGGGCUGCAGUCGAGAAUCUUCCGCAAUGGACGAAAGUCUGACGGAGCGACGCCGCGUGAAUGAUGAAGGCCUUCGGGUUGUAAAGUUCACUCCGGAGGGAGAAAACAAUGAUCGACCUCCGGGAAGCACGGGCUAAGUUCGUGCCAGCAGCCGCGGUAAGACGAACCGUGCGAACGUUGUUCGGAAUCACUGGGCUUAAAGGGCGCGUAGGCGGGCAGCCAAGUCAGAGGUGAAAUCCUUCGGCUCAACCGAAGAAGUGCCUUUGAUACUGGUCGUCUCGA
This 572-nucleotide ribosomal RNA is filed under the name uncultured bacterium. RNAcentral's name for it is "bacterial SSU rRNA". It matches the Rfam family "Bacterial small subunit ribosomal RNA", at positions 69 to 645 of the family's 1533-position model. The record is from RNAcentral.